CAGCCGCUAGCUCGACCUCGAGAGAGCUGAUCUUGGAAGCCUGAGCCCAAGAUCGAUCACUGGCACGCUUUCGGAGUUCCUCGAGCUCCAUCAUGAAGUCGGCCUUCUUCCGGGUGAAUUCCAUGAGCCCCUUUUUGUGGAGGUCCUGAAGGCGAAUAGCCUCCGCAGUAACUUUCGAGUGGCUCUUCCUCAGCUGGUGGAGUUCGUCUUCCAGCUUCUUAGAUUUUCCUGUUAAUCGACGAACUUUCCUUUGGAGGUCUCAUAUCAUCGACUUCAUGGGAAUACCCUCUGGCAGGGGAAGAGCUUUGGCAGGACACCGUCACUGGAAGACAAGAGCGCCAUGACUUAAAUCAAUGCAAGAAGACAAAAAGAAGGAAAAG
Molecule: long non-coding RNA, 380 nt
Filed under: Elaeis guineensis (African oil palm)
Lineage: Eukaryota; Viridiplantae; Streptophyta; Magnoliopsida; Arecales; Arecaceae
Description: long non-coding RNA (EGUI_LNC078576)
Source: RNAcentral